Molecule: long non-coding RNA, 800 nt
Filed under: Numida meleagris (helmeted guineafowl)
Lineage: Eukaryota; Metazoa; Chordata; Aves; Galliformes; Numididae
Description: lncRNA (ENSNMEG00000002594.1)
Source: RNAcentral
GAAUGGGGCAUGAAUGGGUUCUGGGGUGUGUGUGUGUUAUGGGGCACGACUGUGGCAGUGGGGCGUGUGUGGGUGUCCCCACGUGUCCCCAAGUGUGUCCCCCCCCCCCUCCCCUUGGGCCCAUGGCGGUGCCAGCAGCGGGCGGCACAAUGCGGCACAAUGUCCCCAUUCACAGCACGGGGACGGGGACACGCGCGGCGCUGGCCGCAGCCAACCCACAGAUGUGGGGCGCGGGAACCCCAACCCCAAAUACAUGGGGCACACCAACCCCCAAACCCCAUAGAUUUGGGACUCAAGACCCCCGACCCCAAACAUAUGGGGCUCACCGACCCCAAACCCCAUAGAUUUGGGACUCAAGACCCCAAAUCCCAAACAUAUGGGGCACACUGACCCCAAACCCCAUAGAUUUGGCACUCAAGACCCCAAACCCCAAACAUAUGGGGCACACCGACCCCAAACCCCAUAGAUCUGGGACUCCAGACCCCAAACCCCAAAUAUAUGGGGCACACCGACCCCAAACCCCCUCCAGACCCCAAACCCCAAACAUAUGAACCCCAGACCCCAAACAUGUGGGGCUCACCGACCCCAGACCCCCUUCGGACCCCAAACCCCAUAGAUUUGGGACUCCAGACCCCAAACCCCAAACAUAUGGGGCACACCGACCCCAAACCCCAUAGAUCUGGCACUCCAGACCCCAAACCCCAAACAUAUGGGGCUCACCGACCCCCCCUACCCCCUCCAGACCCCAAACCCCAAAUCUAUGGGGCCGGCUGAUCCCUUGUUCCGCGGCCCCACCCCCC